Molecule: non-coding RNA, 29 nt
Filed under: Cricetulus griseus (Chinese hamster)
Lineage: Eukaryota; Metazoa; Chordata; Mammalia; Rodentia; Cricetidae
Source: RNAcentral
CACAGACUGAGAGACCAAGGCUAGGUGAC